Harpegnathos saltator (Jerdon's jumping ant) is the source of this 231-nucleotide long non-coding RNA. RefSeq lists it as uncharacterized. NCBI's taxonomy places the organism in Eukaryota, Metazoa, Arthropoda, Insecta, Hymenoptera, Formicidae. The transcript is spliced from 3 exons. The record is from RefSeq and is a predicted model, not a curated record.
UUACUGAUUGGAGGGAAGAAUGAGAAAGACUUAAUAAGAAGAGCUUUAGGUGCAAUAUUUGCUGAUAAUGUAGCUUAAGCUUUCAAAGCUACAUUCCCCCGCAGCACUGAAAAAGAUUUCGAACAUUGUGUAAUGGAGUGGUUUAGGUUUGCUAACGUACGCAGGCAAAAGAAAGAACUUCUGAGAAAAGACAAAGACGGAUAAGUGAUGGGUAAAUGACAAGUGAUGGAC